Molecule: ribosomal RNA, 253 nt
Filed under: uncultured bacterium
Lineage: Bacteria
Description: partial 16S ribosomal RNA
Rfam family: Bacterial small subunit ribosomal RNA
Source: RNAcentral
UACGUAGGGCGCAAGCGUUGUCCGGAAUUAUUGGGCGUAAAGAGCUCGUAGGCGGCCUGUUACGUCUGCUGUGAAAUCCCGGGGCUUAACCCCGGGCGUGCAGUGGAUACGGGCAGGCUGGAGGCAGGCAGGAGAGAACGGAAUUCCCGGUGUAGCGGUGAAAUGCGCAGAUAUCGGGAGGAACACCGGUGGCGAAGGCGGUUCUCUGGGCCUGUACUGACGCUGAGGAGCGAAAGCGUGGGGAGCGAACAGG